CUCGUAGGUGGCCAACUAAGUCAGACGUGAAAUCCCUCGGCUUAACCGGGGAACUGCGUCUGAUACUGGAUGGCUUGAGUUUGGGAGAGGGACGCGGAAUUCCAGGUGUAGCGGUGAAAUGCGUAGAUAUCUGGAGGAACACCGGUGGCGAAGGCGGCGUCCUGGACCAACACUGACACUGAGGAGCGAAAGCCAGGGGAGCAAAACG
RNAcentral lists this ribosomal RNA (208 nucleotides) under uncultured bacterium. RNAcentral's name for it is "partial 16S ribosomal RNA". It matches the Rfam family "Bacterial small subunit ribosomal RNA", at positions 568 to 775 of the family's 1533-position model. The record is from RNAcentral.